GGCUCCUCGUAACCCAUCAAAUGAGGAGUCGGACCUGCCCGGUGAAUUUUUUUAACGGCCGCGGUACUCUGACCGUGCAAAGGUAGCAUAAUCAUUUGCCUUAUAAUUGAAGGCUAGUAUGAAUGGUUUGACAAGAAUAUAGCUGUCUCUUUGUAAUUAAUUAGAAUUUUAUUUUUAGGUGAAGAAGCCUAAAUAAAAUUGAAAGACAAGAAGACCCUAUCGAGCUUAAAAGAAGUUAAUAAGUCUAUAUUUCUUAAUAAAGUAUUAAUGUUAUUUAUUAAAAAUUUUAGUUGGGGCGACUGAGGAACAAAAAAAGCUUCCUUUAUAAUUUAAAUUAAGACAGACAAGUACUGAUCCAAGAGUUUUGAUUAAAGAAAUUAGUUUCCGUAGGGAUAACAGCAUUAUCCUCUUUGAGAGUUCAUAUCGAAAAGGGGGUUUGUGACCUCGAUGUUGGACCAGAAUAUCCUAAAGAUGCAGCCGUCUUUAAGGGUUGGUCUGUUCGACCAUUAAAAUUCUACGUGAUCUGAGUUCAGACCGGCGUGAGCCAGGUCAGUUUCUAUCUUCAAUUAUUUUAAAUAAACUUAGUACGAAAGGACCAGAUUAUUGUAAGUUAAUUACUAGAUAUAGAGAUAAAAUAUAAUGGUGUUUUAAAUAUUUGAAGUUAAAUCAAAUUAGCAAAGACAAUGCAAUUGACUUAGGAUCAAUAGACAUAGGUGAAACUCCUUUAUUUGAUAUAGUUUUACAGGAAUAACUAAUAAUAAAGGUGGCAGAAUAAA
Molecule: ribosomal RNA, 776 nt
Filed under: Chicomurex laciniatus
Lineage: Eukaryota; Metazoa; Mollusca; Gastropoda; Neogastropoda; Muricidae
Description: partial 16S ribosomal RNA
Rfam family: Bacterial large subunit ribosomal RNA (bases 1-589)
Source: RNAcentral